UAAAUUUCAACUCAUAACCAUUUUUGUACAAUUUGUAAUUAUUUUCUAAACUCAGAACAGGGGACUCCAAAAACAGUUCUGACCCUAUCUUACUAAAAUUCACAUAUCUUAAAAUAUAAAUUUCCUUUUUCUACACCGUUAUUUUUCCAUGAAAAUAUACUCAACAAGCUUUAAUUCCAUAUAUCAUUCACCCUAUAAUUCAUUUUAUACUAUCUUGGGUGAUUUUUCAAAUUCAC
Molecule: long non-coding RNA, 236 nt
Filed under: Gossypium barbadense (sea-island cotton)
Lineage: Eukaryota; Viridiplantae; Streptophyta; Magnoliopsida; Malvales; Malvaceae
Description: long non-coding RNA (GBAR_LNC016808)
Source: RNAcentral